GCCCAGAUAGUUCAGUUGGUAGAACAUCAGACUUUUAACCUGACAGUUCAAGGUUCCAGGGUUCAAGUCCCUGUUCAGGUA
This 81-nucleotide transfer RNA is filed under the name Ovis aries (sheep). It matches the Rfam family "tRNA". From Rfam's summary of the family: Transfer RNA (tRNA) molecules are approximately 80 nucleotides in length. Their secondary structure includes four short double-helical elements and three loops (D, anti-codon, and T loops). Lineage: Eukaryota; Metazoa; Chordata; Mammalia; Artiodactyla; Bovidae. The record is from Rfam by way of RNAcentral.